Molecule: unclassified non-coding RNA, 353 nt
Filed under: Thelephoraceae sp.
Lineage: Eukaryota; Fungi; Basidiomycota; Agaricomycetes; Thelephorales; Thelephoraceae
Description: partial contains 5.8S ribosomal RNA, internal transcribed spacer 2, and large subunit ribosomal RNA
Rfam family: Eukaryotic large subunit ribosomal RNA (bases 297-353)
Source: RNAcentral
GUGAAUCAUCGAAUCUUUGAACGCACCUUGCGCCCCUUGGAUAUUCUGAAGGGCAUGCCUGUUUGAGUACCGUGAACACCUCAACUCUCAUGGCCUUGCCGUGAUGAGCUUGGACUUUGGGGGCUUUGCUGGCCUUGAUGUCGGCUCCUCUCAAACGGAUCAGCUUGCCAGUGUUUGGUGGCGUUGCAGGUGUGAUAACUAUCUACGCUUGCGGCUGUCUGCCAGGUAACCUUCAGUGAUGAGGGUUCACUGGAGCUUAUAAAUGUCCUUCCCCAGCGAGGACAGCUUUGAACGUUCGAUCUCAAAUCAGGUAGGACUACCCGCUGAACUUAAGCAUAUCAAUAAGCGGAGGA